This 75-nucleotide transfer RNA is filed under the name Acidicaldus sp. Its description in RNAcentral is "tRNA-Thr". It matches the Rfam family "tRNA". Rfam says of the family: Transfer RNA (tRNA) molecules are approximately 80 nucleotides in length. The record is from RNAcentral. Lineage: Bacteria; Pseudomonadati; Pseudomonadota; Alphaproteobacteria; Acetobacterales; Acetobacteraceae. RNAcentral also lists the same sequence under 5 other names.
GCUGCUGUAGCUCAGUGGUAGAGCACACCCUUGGUAAGGGUGAGGCCGUGAGUUCAAUCCUCACCAGCAGCACCA